UUCUUCAUCAUGGUGAAAUCUUCUUCACCUCCUUCGUUUCAUAAACUCAGAAACAACAGCAAGGAUAAACGACAAUAUGAUGAGAAAGGACUGCGUGUUUACAAAUGUGAGUUCUGUGACAAAGUAUUCACCACUGGCCAAACAUUCGGCGGUCACAAGACUUGUUAUCGCUCCAACAAACAACAGAUACAUGAUGAUAAGGCUCAAAAAACUAUCAAGAUCACUUUCU
Molecule: long non-coding RNA, 229 nt
Filed under: Lathyrus oleraceus (garden pea)
Lineage: Eukaryota; Viridiplantae; Streptophyta; Magnoliopsida; Fabales; Fabaceae
Description: Pisum sativum (pea) long non-coding RNA (PSAT_LNC036167)
Source: RNAcentral